UCAAACUUGGUCAUUUAGAGGAAGUAAAAGUCGUAACAAGGUCUCCGUAGGUGAACCUGCGGAGGGAUCAUUACCGAGUUGCCGCCCUCGUGGCGGACCUCCCACCCGUUGUGAUUGCUACAAUCGUUGCUUUGGCGGGCCGCCAGGCCUGGCCUGGCCGCCAGCCCCGUGUUGGCGUGCGCCCGCCAGAGACCCUUUAAACUCUGAGGUCGUGUCGUCCGAGUCCUUUUUGAAUCGUUAAAACUUUCAACAACGGAUCUCUUGGUUCUGGCAUCGAUGAAGAACGCAGC
RNAcentral lists this unclassified non-coding RNA (290 nucleotides) under uncultured fungus. Its description in RNAcentral is "partial contains small subunit ribosomal RNA, internal transcribed spacer 1, and 5.8S ribosomal RNA". The stretch from base 1 to 73 matches the Rfam family "Eukaryotic small subunit ribosomal RNA", at positions 1759 to 1831 of the family's 1831-position model. The record is from RNAcentral. Lineage: Eukaryota; Fungi.